Solanum dulcamara is the source of this 1917-nucleotide RNA transcript. It is a transcript of the gene named presenilin-like protein At1g08700, with no coding region annotated. The transcript is spliced from 2 exons. The record is from RefSeq and is a predicted model, not a curated record. NCBI's taxonomy places the organism in Eukaryota, Viridiplantae, Streptophyta, Magnoliopsida, Solanales, Solanaceae.
AUUUUCUCCCAUGAACCACACGAAAUUUAAAUUCUGCUGUGAAUUUUCCAAAAGGACCUUAAAAUACUUUCACCACUCCUUUCUCCCCAUUUCUACUCUUCCACCCCCCACCCCAACCACCACCACCACCACCACCACCGGCCGGCGACCCGAAAAUGGACGGCGGCAGCAUUCUGGAAACGAUCGGAGUAGAGAUCAUCGGAGUAAUGUCACCAGUAUCCAUCUGCAUGUUCCUCGUUGUCCUUAUCGUCUACUCUCUUUCUUCACCAUCUUCCUCCGACAACCAACAAGUCAUCCGUACAGCCGCUAACCUCGUAUACCUCGAAUCAUCUUCCGAUACAACUGCCCAAAAGCUCGAAGGAGCAGUUCUAAACGCCGUCGUUUUUGUAGUACUCAUAACCCUUGUAACAUUCCUUCUUGUAAUUCUAUAUUACUAUCGUUUCACUAAUUUUCUGAAAUACUACAUCCGUUUUUCUGCUUUCUUCGUUCUUGGUUCAAUGGGUGGAUCAAUUUUUCUUACUCUUAUUCAACAUUUCAAUAUCCCAAUUGAUUCCUUCACUUUUUGUCUACUCCUAUUCAAUUUCACCAUUUUAGGGGUCAUAUCUGUGUUUUCACAAGGGGUUCCGAUUUUGCUUAACCAAAUGUAUAUGGUUGCUUUAGGGAUUAUUGUAGCAGCUUGGUUUACGAAAUUACCCGAAUGGACAACUUGGGUUGUGCUUGUUGCACUUGCUUUGUAUGAUCUUGUUGCAGUUUUAGCACCUGGUGGACCGUUGAAGAUGUUGGUGGAGCUUGCUUCUAGUAGGGAUGAAGAGUUACCUGCUUUGGUGUACGAGGCCCGGCCUAAUGUGGGUUCGAGAGCAGGGAGUAGAGGGCCAAAUUUAGGGCUUUUGUUAGCUGGGUUUUCUGAUGGUGAUCCGAUUGAGCUUCGGGUUAUGUCGAGUAGUGAAAAUGUGGUUCAGAAUGGGAGGGGUAUGAAUGAGAGGAGUGAAAGUGAAGAGAUUGAUGGUGUUAGAGAGGUUGAAAUUGAGGGGGAGAUGUUACCAUUGAUGGGUAGUAGUGGUAGUAACGAAAGAGAAAGGCCGGUGGCCAAUGAAGAGAUAAGAGAAAGUAACGAGAGUGAUCGGGCUCGGGUUUUAGAGAGGGAAAUUGAGGAAGAGGAGGAGAGAGGGAGGGGGAUAAAGCUUGGUUUAGGAGAUUUUGUUUUCUACAGUGUGUUGGUGGGGAGAGCUGCAAUGUAUGAUUUGAUGACUGUUUAUGCUUGUUAUCUCGCUAUUAUAUCGGGAUUAGGGUGCACGCUUAUACUGUUAGCUGUGUGUCGACAUGCCUUGCCAGCACUUCCCAUAUCCAUUGCUUUGGGAGUCAUCUUUUACUUUUUGACAAGGCUGUUGAUGGAGCCAUUCGUUGUUGGGACUUCGACGAAUCUUUUGAUGUUUUGACCCUUGAUACGUGGAGGAGGAAAUUAGAAAGUACAGGAUAUAUUCAGUUCCAAGACAUACAUUUUGAUUUAGAAGAAAACUAAUUGCUUUCGGCACACCCUUGUUUCAAGGUUCCGAACAGGAAGGGACAACUCAAGCUAUAUUUUGUUCUGAUCUAUCUGUAAAAUUGCAAGUCUAUUGAGACCUUGACGUGCUCUCAUUUAGAUGGGAUCAUAUCCUAGUAGAGGCACUUUCUAUAGCUGUUUUUUUGUAGCCAAGGUUAUAGGAAUAGGUUAUAGGUAGGUAUGCUGACUCUUUGAGAUAUUCUAGUUUUGAGGUGCUUAAGAUUUUUGCUUUCACUUGUAUUUCUUUCAACUUUAUCUGUUUCCUAGGCACAGUGGAUGGAGUUAAACCCCUGUGCAAACUGAAAAUACUCUCUGAAGCUUUGGAACCUUCUACAAAAAAUCCAGUUCUGUAAACAUUUCUUUGCACUUAUUAAUGA